AGCGAACGUUAGCGGCGGGCUUAACACAUGCAAGUCGCACGAGAUAGGAGACUUCGGUCUCUGUGUAAAGUGGCGGACGGGUGCGUAACACGUGGCUAACCUGCCCUCCAGUUGGGGAUAACUGUCCGAAAGGAUAGCUAAUACCGAAUUCGUCGGCCGGGUCUUCGGACCUGGUCGGGAAAGCCGGCCUCUACAUGUAAGCUGGCGCUGGAGGAGGGGGCCGCGGCCCAUCAGCUAGUUGGUGAGGUAAUGGCUCACCAAGGCUAAGACGGGUAGCUGGUCUGAGAGGAUGAUCAGCCACACUGGGACUGAGACACGGCCCAGACUCCUACGGGAGGCAGCAGUGGGGAAUAUUGGGCAAUGGGCGCAAGCCUGACCCAGCCACGCCGCGUGAGUGAUGAAGGCCUUCGGGUCGUAAAGCUCUGUGGGGAGGGACGAAAGCCCGGAAGCUAAUAUCUUCCGGUUUGACGGUACCUCCUUAGCAAGCACCGGCUAACUCCGUGCCAGCAGCCGC
This 514-nucleotide ribosomal RNA is filed under the name uncultured bacterium. Its description in RNAcentral is "bacterial SSU rRNA". It matches the Rfam family "Bacterial small subunit ribosomal RNA", at positions 28 to 518 of the family's 1533-position model. The record is from RNAcentral.